UCCCUCGUGGCGCAAUUGGCUGUUCGUGAUUCCACGCCAUCCACCUGACAACACCGACUAACCUUCUACAGAGCGCGUUUGACUGUUAAAGCUCAGGCUAGAGCAAUCAGGAGGUUGGUGGUUCAAGCCCACCCGAGGGAG
Molecule: non-coding RNA, 141 nt
Organism: Teratosphaeriaceae sp. CCFEE 6253
Lineage: Eukaryota; Fungi; Ascomycota; Dothideomycetes; Mycosphaerellales; Teratosphaeriaceae
Source: the annotation of a GenBank genome assembly